AAACUGAAGAGUUUGAUCCUGGCUCAGAUUGAACGCUGGCGGCAUGCCUUACACAUGCAAGUCGAACGGCAGCACGGGAGCAAUCCUGGUGGCGAGUGGCGAACGGGUGAGUAAUAUAUCGGAACGUGCCUUAUAGUGGGGGAUAACGCAGCGAAAGCUGUGCUAAUACCGCAUACGCCCUGAGGGGGAAAGCGGGGGAUCGAAAGACCUCGCGCGAUUAGAGCGGCCGAUGCCUGAUUAGCUUGUUGGUGGGGUAAAAGCCCACCAAGGCGACGAUCAGUAGCUGGUCUGAGAGGACGAUCAGCCACACUGGGACUGAGACACGGCCCAGACU
This 334-nucleotide ribosomal RNA is filed under the name Polynucleobacter sp. Its description in RNAcentral is "bacterial SSU rRNA". It matches the Rfam family "Bacterial small subunit ribosomal RNA", at positions 1 to 337 of the family's 1533-position model. The record is from RNAcentral. Lineage: Bacteria; Pseudomonadati; Pseudomonadota; Betaproteobacteria; Burkholderiales; Burkholderiaceae.